GUGAAUUUAUGGGCUGCUCUCCUCCAACAUCAACCCACCCGAGGGCAUACCAGCAAGCAGCCCUACUGCAACCCAGUACAAGGGCUCCUCAGCACACCAGCUCGGUUUCUGCCUUUCAGCUUCUGCUGCUGGGAGCCCCACAGCACUGCUGGGUGCCAGCAAAGUCAGACAAAGCAAACCCCAUCCCUGUGUGUGCGGGACUGAAGGGAUGAGCCUUGGGGGCAGUGGAGGCCGACUUCAUGUUGGCAGAAGGCAAUUAUGCCUUAAAGUGGAUUUAUUUCUUUAUGCAGAUCUCCUGAAAUCGACUUGCCUGGAAUUGUUUUACUGUCUGCUCCCUGUUCCCCUGGUAAAGGCCCACCUGCAAGAAAAGCCAGAACUUCCAAUUGUAGAGAAACUUCUCUACUUGAGCCCGCGUGACGCCGCACAUCUGCGCCUCAGCAUGCCUUUCUGCAGACCAGUGAGUCAUUAGCGGAGAUAAGAUGAGUCCCAGAUGUUAAAGAAACGUGGUAGCACUCCAUGGAGUGCAACUGGGACAAAUAAAAGCCAAAGCUUCAACGUUU
This 560-nucleotide long non-coding RNA is filed under the name Numida meleagris (helmeted guineafowl). RNAcentral's name for it is "lncRNA (ENSNMEG00000005896.1)". The record is from RNAcentral. Lineage: Eukaryota; Metazoa; Chordata; Aves; Galliformes; Numididae.